RNAcentral lists this long non-coding RNA (4935 nucleotides) under Sus scrofa (pig). Its description in RNAcentral is "lncRNA (ENSSSCG00030072810.1)". The record is from RNAcentral. Lineage: Eukaryota; Metazoa; Chordata; Mammalia; Artiodactyla; Suidae.
GUGUUUGCGUUUUUUUGCAGUUUUUUUCUUGUUGUUGAUUUCCAAUCAUAUCGCGUUGUGGCCGGAAAAGAUGUUUGGUAUGAUCUCAAUUUUCUGAAAGUUACCAAGGUUGGAUUUGUAGCGCAGGAUGUGCUCAAUCUUAGAGAAUGUUCCAUGUGCACUUGAGAAGAAUGUGUAUUCUGUUGCUUUUGGAUGGAAUGUCCUAUAAAUAUGUAUGAAGUCCAUCUGGUCUAAUGCUCCAUUCAGGGCCUGUGUUUCCUUAUUGAUUUUCUGUCUGGCUGAUCUGUCCAUUGCUGUAAGUGGGAUGUUAAAGUCCCCCACUAUAAUUGUGUUAUUGUUGAUUUGUCCUUUUAAGGUUGUUAGCAGUUGCCUUAUCUAUUGCAGUGAACCUAUGUUGGGUGCGUAGAUAUUUACAAUUGUUCUAGCUUCUUCUUGGAUUGAUCCUUUGGUCAUUAUGUAGUGACCUUCCUUGUCCCUUAAAAUAGUCUUCAUUUUAAAGUCUAUUUUGUCUGUUAUGAGUAUUGCUACUCUGUCUUUCUUUUGAUUCCCGUUGGCAUGGAAUAUUUUCUUCCAUCCUCUCACUUUGAAUUUGUGUGUGUCCAUAGAAGUGAAGUGGGUCUCUUGAAGAAAGCAUGUAUAUGGAUCUUGUUUUUGUAUCCAUUCAGCCAGUCUAUGUCUUUUGGCUGGGGUGUUUAGCCCAUUAACAUUUAAGGCAAUUAUUGAUAUGUAUGUUCUUAUUGCCAUUUUAUUAAUUGCUUUGGAUUUGUUUUUGUUGCUCUGUUUUCUUUCCUUCUUCUCUGUUCUCUCCUCUUCUGGAUUGAUGACUAUCUUUAGUGUUGUAUUUGAGUUGAUUUUUCUUUGUUUGUGUAUCAGUUGUAGAUUUUUGGUUUGCAGGUAUUCUGAAGUUUUGAUAUACGAUUCUAUAUGUAUAUGAGAUUGUUUUAAGUUGUUGUUCUCUUAAUUGCAAGUUCAUCUCCAGUUGUCCUCCAUUUGUACCCACCUCUUCUCAUGCUUUCUGAAUUUGGUAGUAUAAUUGUGCAUGGAUGAUUUUGUAUCUUUACUGUAUAUUUACCUUUACUGCUGAGCCUUGUCAUUUGUGGUAUUUUUGUUACCUGUUGCUGUCUUUUCUGCCUAGAGAAGUUCCUUUAGUAUUUGUUGUAAGGCUGGUUUACUGUUGCUGAAUUCUCUCAGCUUUUGCUUAUGUGUGAAGGUUUUGAUUUCUCCUUCAAAUGUGAAUGAGAGCCUUGCUGGGUAAAGUAAUCUUGAUUGGAGGUUUUUUCCUUUCAUCACAUUAAGUAUAUCAUACCACUUCCUUCUAGCCACAGAGUUUCUGCUGAAAAAUAUGCUAAUAACUUUAUUGGGGUUCCCUUGUGUGAUUUGUUUCUUUUCCCUAGCUGCUUUCAAGAUUUUCUCUUUGUCUAAUUUUGGUCAGUUUCACUUAAUUCCUUCUUGAGUGUUCUUCCUUAUAUAGAUAUGAGUUCUUUCUUAGGAUUUUUAUCGCUAAUCAAUACUGAAGCAAUGCUUACAUUGCUUGCCCAUCAGUUCUUGCAUUCUGCCAAAUUUAUCCUUUAUAGUCCUUAGCAUAUUAAUCAAAAUUAUUUUAAAUUCUCAUCCUAAAAAAUGCCAAUACCCCUUCCAUGUGUGGUUUUUAUGCUUGCUGUGUUUCUUCAAAAUAUGUUUUUCGACUUUUGGUAUGCCUUCUAAUUUUUUCUUAAUAGCCAGUCAUGAUGUGUGGAGUAAAGGGCACUGCUGCAGAGUGGCUUUCAGUAAUGUGGUGGUGAGGUGUGAGGGGGAAGGGAAGCUUUUUGUAGCUUUAUGACUAAGUCGCAGUCUUUUAGUGAGCCUGUGUCUCAGGACUGUGAACUUCACAAGUGUUUUAUUGGUUUGAUUGGAUAGCUAGAGAGGGCUGAAAAUGGGUAUUUCCCUUCCCCAGAUCACUUAGGUUCUAAUAAUACCCUAUAAAGUUAGACUCUGGUUAACUAGAUUUCCCCUUAGGGUGGACUUUAUUAAGGAAAGAGUGCUCUUAUUUCAAAAUGGUCCUUUUCCCCCACCUUCUGCUGGAAGUCGGAGAAUUUUUCUCCAGUAUUUACUAUGGGAAUCUGGUCGAGGUUCUGCAGGUAAAUCUCACAGUAUUGUGGGCAGCCCACUUAUGACUAGUCCUGCUGCUUUUUAACUCUCAGUGUUGUCUACACUCAGCCUUCAGCAAUUCAUCAAUUACAGUUCAGUAUUUCCUACCUGGCACUGGCUUAAUCAAUAUUUUCCACUUGUGAGUCUCUGCUCCUGUAUACUGCAUAUCCCUCUAUUUGCCUGUCUUUGCAGUCUUGGGAACAGCAGUUUACCCUAUGUCUUCUCUUCUCGUGGGUCCAAGAAGAGUUUUUGAUUUUUCAGUCUGUUCAGCUUUUUAUGUAUUGUUAGGACAGAAUGGUGACUUCAAAACUCAUUAUAUGUGGAAUCAGAAAUUGGAAUUCCCUCAUUUUUAAAAUUGUGGUAAAGUCACAAAAUAUAAUAUUUACCAUUUUAAGUCAUUUUUAAUUGUGCAGGUCAGCAGUAGUACAUACAUCACUAAUGUACAAUUAUCACCACCAUCUAUCUUCAUAACUUAUAAAACUUGUAAAAUGAAAACUAACUCCCUAUCCCUCUCUUUUCUAGCCCCUGGCAGCCAUCAUUCUACCUAUUUUCUGUCUCUGAUUUUGACUACUCUAAGUACAUUAUAUAAGUGGACCAUACACUAUUUGUUUUUUUUUUUUUUGGUGACUGGCCUAUUUUACUUAGCAUUAUGUCCUCAAGGUUCAUCUAUGUUGAAGCAUAGGUCAGAAUUUCCUGUCUUUCUAAGGCUGAGUAUAUUCCACUGUAUGUAUAUACCCCACAGUUGGCUUAUCUAUUCAUCUGUCAAUGCUUAUUUGGAUUUCUUCCAUAUUUUAGUUACUGUGAACAGUGCUGCCUAUGAACAUGGAAUUACAAAUAUAUCUUUCAGAUCCUGCUGUCAGUUCUUCUGGGUAUAUACCCAGAAGUGGAAUUUCUAGGUCAUGUGGUAAUUCUAUUCAAAGAUUUUUAAGGAUUUGCCAUGCCAUUUUACAUUCCCAACAAUGAUCCAUAAGGGUUCCAACAAUUGUGUUGUUUAAUUUCCACAAACUUGUGAAUUUUCCAAAUUAAUUCUGUUACUUAUUUUUAACUUCAUCCUAUUGUGAUUGGAGAAGAUACAUUGUAUAAUAUCUAUCUUUUUAACUACUGAGACGUUAUUUGUGAUUUAGGAUGUUGUCUAUCCUGGAAAGUGUGCCAUGUGCACUUAAGAAGAAUGUGUAUGUUGUUGUGUAGAGUAUUCUGUAUAUGUCUUUUAAACCUAGUUGGCUAUUGUGCUGUUUAAGUCUUUGAUUUCCUUAUUUUCUUUUGAAAUCUCCAACUAUUACUGUAGAACUGUCUAUUUAUCCCCUUAAUUUUGUCAGCUUUUCUUCUUAUAUUUUGAUGGCCUGUUAUUAGGUGUGCAGGUAUUCAUUAUUGUUGUAUCUUCAUGCUAUAUUGAACCUAGUAUUAAUGUAUACUUUGUCUCUUUGUCUCUUAUAAAUGUAAAGUUAUUUUGUUAUACUUUCUUUUGGUUAUUAUUUGCAUUAUGUAUCUUUUCCCAUCCUUUCACUUUCAGUCUGUUUGAACUUUUGGAUCUAAAAUGAGUCAAUUAUAGAUAACAUAUGGCUGGAUGAUUUCAUAAAUUCAUUCUACCAAUCUCUGUCUUUUGAUUGGAAAGUUUAAUACAUUUACAUUUAAAGUACAGGCAUACCUCAGAAAUAUUGUGGGUUCAAUUCUGGAGUGCUACAGUAAAGUGAAUAUCACAAAAAAAUGAGUCAUAUGAAAAGUCUUUCUAGGAGGUCUGCCUCCCAGGUCUUUUUCAGGGAUAGUUUCUGUUUGUUUGUUUCCUUUGAGCAGGUCAUAAUUUUCUAUUUCUUUUGUGUAUUUUGUUGACAGCUGGGCAUUUGAGUCUAAUGUAAACACAGACAUGGUUCUCCCCCUCCCCAGGGGUUUGCUAGUUUAUAAAAAAUUGUUUUUAUUUAUUAUUUUUCUUUGUCUUUAAUUUGUUGCAGGUUAUUUUUGUGUUAAGGAUUAGCCUGUGGUAUAAACAUAAGGUUUUCUCAUGUAUUCUCAUGUCUUUCCUGGGCGUGCACAGUUGCUUUCUCAUUUCCUCCAUAGGUGCACAGUUGCUUUCUCAUUUCCUCCAUAGGUACACAGUCACCUUCUCAUUUCCUCCAUAGUUGCAGUUACCUCUGUAGGAAAAUUGUAUUUAAUGUCUGGUUUGUAAAAGGGGAAAUAGAGAAAAAUGAAGAGGGAAAAAGGGGCACUGGCUCUUAAUAUCCACUAGAAGUCACUUUAGCCAGAGGGAGAGAGGCUUCUGACAAUGGGAGGUGGUAGAACAAAAAUGGUUCUACCCCUUUUCUACACCUCUGUGAUCAGUCAGUAGUCAAAGCAUGGAUCCCUGAUAAUCAGAGGGCAGGGGCUCCCCACCCCCCAUCCUGGCUCCUGCAAGUUUUGUACAGGUUGUUUCUAGAAGAUAUGCAUAGUUGCCUGCCAGAGGGCUGUGGAUGAGGGAAUGAAAAUGAGUAGCUGCUACUGUGCCAAGAGCUGAAAUUGGCCAAAAUUAAUCAUAAAAAGGACCAAUCUGUGAAUUAUUGAUUGGAGUCCCAGAAGGAGAAGAGAGGUGUAGAACAGGGAAGAAAGAAAUAAUGGUUGUGAAUGUCCUAAAUCUGGGUAGAGAUUUGAAGUUAUGAAUUUCUAUUUCAUGAAGCUCAUAGGUCAGCAAACAAUUUCAACUUAAAGUGAUAUUCUCCAAGACACUGUCAAAAAUAAAAGACAAAAAGAAUCUUAAAAGCAGCAGGAGAGGUUAUAACUUAGAAAAGAACUCCCAUAAGUCUAUCAGCAGAUUUUUCAGCAGAAACUUUAUAGGCCAGG